UGCUUUUAUUUAUGUGACCAUAAUAAAAAUUGAUUGAUUGAUAUAUUUUUUAACUGAUUAUAUUAGCAACAUUCUAUUGUGGUUCCCAACCUUUACAGCAUGUUAGCAUGGCAGGAGAGGGAAGUCGAGCUGCGUGCAUGUGCGCUGGCUUGACGCUCGCACAAGUUAAACUUGCACCUGCACUCUGGACUGCAUCUUGUGCAAGUCGAGCUGCACACACGUGUAUAUGCACAAGUCAGCGAUUCAUGUGGCCUGUUCUGAAGUAAUCCGAUAGGGGGCCGCAACCCAGGGGUUGAGGACCUCUAUUCUAUUGCGUGCAUGUAUCUGAAAGUAUGGCUAUUGUUUUUCUCUAUCAAUUAAUCACUGGUGCCCUGACUGAAGCUCUUUUAUCUUUUAUAAUCCCAAAAAGUAUAUUCAAAUAAAUUCAGUCUUUUUCGGGAUAAUUUAUUCUGGCCUAUGGUUAUUACAUCAGAGAAGUAAGUUCAGGAGGAAAGGGGACUUAUGGGAUUGCUAAUACACUGCUCUUUACAAUAUCCCUGAGAAUAAGAAUGUUUCCUCUUAAAGUUCAAAAUACAUGCCUUUGUGAAAGAGAAAUAAAAAUAUGUUACUGAGAAUGCUUAAUUUGGAAGCCACUUUUUCAAGCAAUGUCUCUUAACACACUGUUCUGUUCAUAAGUUGCAGGCAAGUGAAACUUUAAGGAACACUAGUCACAGCAGUACAGCUGCUGACUUACUACAAGCUAGGCAACAGAUAUUUACCUAUCAGCAACAGCUCGAAGAACAAGAACAGCUGUUGAGAGACUAUCAGAAGAAAAAUGAAGAUUUUGAAGUGCAGGUUUCCCUUCUGCAACAUAAAAUCAUGGACAUGGGAAAAUGGAAAGAUGAAGAAGAUUGUUCUUACAAAGAAGAAAAUGCAUGAACAACAAACAACUAUUGAACAACUGGAAGCAAAAUAUAUAGAACAUGAAGAAAAUAUAUUUCUGUAUCUGAAAAAAAUUAUCAAUUGCUGAAAAAUCUCUACAGGAAUUAAAAGAAGAGAAUUUUCAAAAGAUUCAAGAGCUGGGUAAUGUGAAGCUUGAACUAACAACCUCUAAACAAAAAGAAAGGCAAUGUUCUGAUGAAAUAAAGCAGUUAAUGGGAACUGUGGAAGAACUGCA
RNAcentral lists this long non-coding RNA (1156 nucleotides) under Notechis scutatus (mainland tiger snake). RNAcentral's name for it is "lncRNA (ENSNSUG00000003615.1)". Lineage: Eukaryota; Metazoa; Chordata; Lepidosauria; Squamata; Elapidae. The record is from RNAcentral.